RNAcentral lists this ribosomal RNA (207 nucleotides) under uncultured bacterium. RNAcentral's name for it is "partial 16S ribosomal RNA". It matches the Rfam family "Bacterial small subunit ribosomal RNA", at positions 568 to 774 of the family's 1533-position model. The record is from RNAcentral.
CACGCAGGCGGUUUGUUAAGUCAGAUGUGAAAACCCCGGGCUCAACCUGGGAAUUGCAUUUGAAACUGGCAAGCUAGAGUACGAGAGAGGGGGGUAGAAUUCCACGUGUAGCGGUGAAAUGCGUAGAGAUGUGGAGGAAUACCGGUGGCGAAGGCGGCCCCCUGGCUCGAUACUGACGCUCAGGUGCGAAAGCGUGGGGAGCAAACA